UUUGAAGACGGAAGACGGCAGAGAGAGGGUGCGUAUCACCGUGGCUGUGGCUGGCGGUUGUCCCCCUCUGCCCCUCUUCCCCCUGCCCGCCGCCCUCUCGGCUUGUCUUUCCACCCUGUCCCCAUUCUUCAUUCCACCCCCUGGGGCUGGCCGGCCCCCUGCCCUCCUGUCUCCUCUGUACAACCAGCCCUCUAGGUCCCCCUGCUUACCAAACUCUCCUCCAAGAGGCCUCAACCAUGAGCAACUGCUCCCUCUUCGAAACUCUUAACGCCUCGCCAUCCUCCGAGCCCUGAUUCUCAGACCAGCAGAAUCGGUACCACCUGUGCACUGACUGCGCUAAAGCAUCUCAGCAUCUCGGGCUCCACUGGCUCCCUGCUCCAGGCUCUGAAGAUCCCACUUGCCGAAGGUCAACCAAGCCUGCAAGGUGCAGCUACUGAGUCCGUGUGCCCAGAGCCCAUGCUCUGCAACAAGAGAAGCCACCGCAAUGAGAAGCCCUUGCAUUGCAACUUGAGAGGAGCCCCUGCUUGCCACAACU
Molecule: long non-coding RNA, 535 nt
Filed under: Bos taurus (domestic cattle)
Lineage: Eukaryota; Metazoa; Chordata; Mammalia; Artiodactyla; Bovidae
Description: long non-coding RNA NONBTAT000029
Source: RNAcentral